AUUGAACGCUGGCGGCAGGCCUAACACAUGCAAGUCGAACGGUAGCACAGAGAGCUUGCUCUCGGGUGACGAGUGGCGGACGGGUGAGUAAUGUCUGGGAAACUGCCUGAUGGAGGGGGAUAACUACUGGAAACGGUAGCUAAUACCGCAUAACGUCGCAAGACCAAAGAGGGGGACCUUCGGGCCUCUUGCCAUCAGAUGUGCCCAGAUGGGAUUAGCUAGUAGGUGGGGUAAUGGCUCACCUAGGCGACGAUCCCUAGCUGGUCUGAGAGGAUGACCAGCCACACUGGAACUGAGACACGGUCCAGACUCCUACGGGAGGCAGCAGUGGGGAAUAUUGCACAAUGGGCGCAAGCCUGAUGCAGCCAUGCCGCGUGUAUGAAGAAGGCCUUCGGGUUGUAAAGCACUUUCAGCGAGGAGGAAGGUGAUGAGGUUAAUAACCUCAGCAAUUGACGUUACUCGCAGAAGAAGCACCGGCUAACUCCGUGCCAGCAGCCGUGGUAAUACGGAGGGUGCAAGCGUUAAUCGGAAUUACUGGGCGUAAAGCGCACGCAGGCGGUCUGUCAAGUCGGAUGUGAAAUCCCCGGGCUCAACCUGGGAACUGCAUUCGAAACUGGCAGGCUAGAGUCUUGUAGAGGGGGGUAGAAUUCCAGGUGUAGCGGUGAAAUGCGUAGAGAUCUGGAGGAAUACCGGUGGCGAAGGCGGCCCCCUGGACAAAGACUGACGCUCAGGUGCGAAAGCGUGGGGAGCAAACAGGAUUAGAUACCCUGGUAGUCCACGCCGUAAACGAUGUCGACUUGGAGGUUGUUCCCUUGAGGAGUGGCUCCCGGAGCUAACGCGUUAAGUCGACCGCCUGGGGAGUACGGCCGCAAGGUUAAAACUCAAAUGAAUUGACGGGGGCCCGCACAAGCGGUGGAGCAUGUGGUUUAAUUCGAUGCAACGCGAAGAACCUUACCUACUCUUGACAUCCAGAGAACUUAGCAGAGAUGCUUUGGUGCCUUCGGGAACUCUGAGACAGGUGCUGCAUGGCUGUCGUCAGCUCGUGUUGUGAAAUGUUGGGUUAAGUCCCGCAACGAGCGCAACCCUUAUCCUUUGUUGCCAGCGGUUAGGCCGGGAACUCAAAGGAGACUGCCAGUGAUAAACUGGAGGAAGGUGGGGAUGACGUCAAGUCAUCAUGGCCCUUACGAGUAGGGCUACACACGUGCUACAAUGGCGCAUACAAAGAGAAGCGACCUCGCGAGAGCAAGCGGACCUCAUAAAGUGCGUCGUAGUCCGGAUUGGAGUCUGCAACUCGACUCCAUGAAGUCGGAAUCGCUAGUAAUCGUAGAUCAGAAUGCUACGGUGAAUACGUUCCCGGGCCUUGUACACACCGCCCGUCACACCAUGGGAGUGGGUUGCAAAAGAAGUAGGUAGCUUAACCUUCGGGAGGGCGCUUACCACUUUGUGAUUCAUGACUGGGGUG
This 1462-nucleotide ribosomal RNA is filed under the name Leclercia adecarboxylata. RNAcentral describes it as "bacterial SSU rRNA". It matches the Rfam family "Bacterial small subunit ribosomal RNA". The record is from RNAcentral. Lineage: Bacteria; Pseudomonadati; Pseudomonadota; Gammaproteobacteria; Enterobacterales; Enterobacteriaceae.